UAGGCUGAAACUCGCCUACAUGAAGCUGGAAUUGCUAGUAAUCACAGGUCAGCAUACUGUGGUGAAUACGUUCCCGGGCCUUGUACACACCGCCCGUCACACCAUGAGAGUUGAGAAUACCCGAAGCCCAUGUCAAAGUGGUCGAAGGUAGGCUUGAUGAUUGGGGUGAAGUCGUAACAAGGUAGC
Molecule: ribosomal RNA, 186 nt
Filed under: uncultured bacterium
Lineage: Bacteria
Description: partial 16S ribosomal RNA
Rfam family: Bacterial small subunit ribosomal RNA
Source: RNAcentral